CAGGAAGGGAGGAGAGAUCAAACCCAGGGAGGAGAGACUCCUGGGCACUCUGCGGAUUCCCUCCUCAUUUGGGGGUGGGUGGAUGCUAUCUGGGGGACUCCUGGCCCUCGGCAUAUUCCAAGGGCUAGAGCACUCUGGUUUCCACGCUGAUCUUGAAAAGGAGUGACAACUCUAAACCGUGUGUGGGGUUCCCUCCUGUCCAUCUGGGGGUCUCCAGAAAGGCAGCACCAAGCGCUCUGAGCGCCAACGAGGACCAGUCCAUCCCACAUCAAGCUCUGAGCCGCAGCAACUUCGGACCCACACACCUGAGGCAGAGACGUUUCCCAGGUGGCACCCUCAGCCUUGUAUGACAACGGACCAGGGACAAAUAGGCAGAGGCAGCCAUGCCUCCCUUCCCAACCUGUCGGGCUCCUGCUCUGUGGAUAUGGUGGAGUCAUCUGCUGCAACUCAGCUCCUGUUUCUAUAUCUGCAAAAUGGGGGUAAAAAUAUUUUCCAUAAUUGCCUAACAGAUUUAUUUUAAUUCUCAAAUGCAUGAAUCAUUUAUAGGCAUAAAUGACCAAGUUUUAUGAAUUGGUCAUCUAUGUUCCUUUCUUCUGUUUUUUAUCUUGAUAUCUAUCAAUCAUCUUUUACCUAUCAAUUGUCUAUUGCCUACCGUCGUCUGCUUAUUAUCUAUCUGUAAUCUAUCACAUGUGUAUCCAUCCACUGAGCCACCUAUUGGCUAUGCAUCUAGGAUAUUUCUAUCUACACCUAGCUUCUUAGUAACCACCUCCCUUUAUAUAUCUAUAGUCUUGGAAAAGUCCUCCUUUGAAGACAGUCCUCCUUUGAAGGCAAGAACAUUAAGGGAAACUGAGAGACCUGGAGGUUUUGGGUACUCUUUAAUGCCACCACUGUUAGCUCUCUACUUAGCUCUGGAAAAGCUACACCCCCUUUCUGGGUUUCCUCUCCCACUGCUAGGAAUGAGAAGGCUGCAUUCCCUCCCUGGAGGAGUCCUCCUGGUUCCAAAUGUGAUGCUUCAUGUAACUUAUAUCAGGUUGGCAGUGGGGGCAUUCAAAGGGUUGGGAGGAGCCUCACAGCCCCUCUUUGAAGAGCUUCACUAGGAAAAAAGUGAUUUGGAAUGGAAAUUUAUGCAAGAAGAACUGCUAGUGAUCCUUAAUGCCUAGGACUGCUGUUCCACCCAAGAGUUGCAAGGGCUUUGAUUCAGGACUUCUUUACUUAGGACUCUUUAUUCUUUGCCUUUCCAUAAGAUGUGUGAGGUUGGUAGGCUAUCAGAGGAAGGUUUUAAGGAAAAAGAGGAUACUCUGAAUGUUUAUUCCCAUCACCUCAGAUCAGCAGAGCAGGAAAUAAGGAGGAAGCCAUCCCCUGGUAGAAGGGAAGGAAACGUGAACUUGGAAAAUGAAGAAAAUGUGGGCACAACCAAUGCGUAAAUUUAAGUUCACCUUCACCAAAGAUUUCAAAACCCUGAUUCUAAAACAGUAUUCCACUCUGCACGGAUUCCCCUGGCCAUGCCAGGUCCUGCUCCUUCUCUUGAGCUGGCACACCACCAGCUCUGGCUUCGGAUGACCUACCAGAUGUCACUCACUGCCCUGUGAUGUAGGACCAACUAACAAUCUUCAACCCCCUGGCACCACCUUGCCAUGUCCCGUCCUGGUCAUUCUCCCAGGGGUCCCUAUGAAAAUCUCCUUGAGUUUCUCCCCCAUGCCCAAACAGGACGGCGUAGGUUGUACUGUCCUCUUCCUCUCCCACCUACCUCUGACCCACCGCAGACUAACGCUGCCCCUGGAGCCAGUCAAUGCCCCCGACUUGGUUUAGACCCUCGCUGUUUUCAACUGAGAUUCGACAGAAGCCACCUAGUAUGUCUCCUUCCUGUCUCUCCCACUCCAGGUCCCAGUGUCAUUCAAUGACAAGGAAGUGUGGCCAGCAUACUACCCAAUAACUCCCAUCACUUAGCUCUAACCUGAGCCAGCUGCUACUAGCAUAGGAAGCCUUGGAGCUGGCUCCUGCCCCCUUCCUCAGCGUCACCCUCCUCUGCAGGCCCAUGCUUCUUAUUCUCCAGCCAUAUUGGACACUGAGACCACCCCCCACCCCAGGCAUCCAGCUCCCUCCUGCCUCUCCCUCUACUGAAGCCCUUCCUUCUGCCUGCCACCCUGCCUUGGUCCUCCGUGGCCAACACCUGCCCGUGGGCUCCGACUCCUAUUUCAGGGCUCACUUUCCUUCUUAUUUCUGCUUCCUCCUGGAAGUACUCACACUAGGUCAUCUCCCUUGGCACCAGGAGAUCACUGUGCAUACUUGGGCCCAUUGCUUUAUUGCAGCCAGGGUAUGUGUGUGUGGUGUGUGUGGUGUGUGUGUGUGUGUGUGUGUGUGAGAGAGAGAGAGAGAGAGAGACAGACAGACAGACAGACAGACAGAGAGGUGUGCUCUGCUAGAGCGACAAGAAGCCCAACCCCUGGGUCUCCUAGAACAGUUAGCUGAAGUAAGAACUUGCUGCUGCUGGUCAGAGGCUCGAUGCCAAAGCCAUUCCCCUCCCUAGGGGUCCAGCUGGCCCCUUCACCAAUAAUUCAGGUGCUGUUCUGUGUUCAGGUGGGAACAUGAGGGAAGAGACACUUAUCAACUAAUAUUUCUUCCUUUCAUUGGGAAAAAUCCCACCUUUCCCAGAAUCCCUCCCCAGGUUGCUUAUGUCUGAUUGGCCAGGACUAUGUCACAGACACAGAAGAUAAAGUGACAGCUCCACCUGGCUGAGCAUGUGGGUCCCAAGCAGAGGCAGGGACUUGUUAGAAAGAGAGUGGAGAACAGAACUUGAACAUGCAUCCUGUUGCCUUCCCCACAGAGCUCAGCCUCCAGCCCUCUUGGGCCCCACCAUCAGCCUGCACUUGGUCACCACAGAUGUCACACCACAGUGGGCAGGUGGAAGUCAAGGGGCCUCUGGUUACCAGUUACAAACAGUAUUCCCAGGGUUCCAGGCAGAAAUGGCACAGGAGACAGUGUGCUCAUUAUACUGAGCAUGUCUUAAUUCUGUAUGAAGAAUUUGUUUCAAUGAUUUCAGUCUCCUCAUGAGAUUUUUCACUCUUGUUCUCCAUUAGUGACUGCAGAUUUUGGACAAUUUCUGAAAAGAAAGAGCUAUUAUGUAUCAAAACAUCUUGACUUUUAGAAUAGCCACUGACAUGCCAUAGCAAAUACAGCACUAAUAAAUUGCAGGCUAAAUGUCUUUAGCAGCAGAAUUAUCAAAAGAGUAGAAGAAGCACUAGGCCAGCCAAAUGCUAGUGUAGGAACGUGUCCCUUUCUAUGGAUAACAAAUGGUAGGAUUUUUGCACAAAGUUAAAUUGGACUGUGGUGCCUUAGGGAAUAAAUUAGCUUUUAAAAUAAUAUGCAAGCAGCACACAACGGAGGUUGUGCUGAGAGUCAGAGCUAUUUGGAAAUGUGCAUCAUCUCUGUUACUUAUUAAGUGUUCUCAGUCUUCCAAUUCCCCUUCCCCCAUGGUAUCUGAAACAACUCAACACUAGGGUUGUCUUACACAGAAAAUAAAUAAAUAUGUCAUUGAAGGUUGUGAAAUUGCUUCUCUCAGAUUUGAGAUGAUUCUUAACACCAACUAAGGUUUGACAUGUUAAAGAUUCUCCUGCAAAUCUGGAAUUUUCCAUUGAGAAAUGCUAAGACUUUGACUAAUGCACAAAUAAAAGGACAUGCUGUCAUGGCAUGGAAACUAUUUAUAAUUUGAUCUUAGAUCAAAGAUUUUUUUCAAUUACUUCUUUGGGUAACCAUAGCAAUAUUAAAAGAAAACAAACGUAUACGAUGAGUGUUGUAAAAGAAUUAUUAUAGCAUGUAUACGCACAUGUUUAACUUGAUCAAAAAUGGAAAAUUUUACACAACCAAUUUCAGGAAAUUCUAUACAAAUCCAGGAAGAAUGGUAAUCAACAUCUUUAAUCUAUUUCAAAUGUCUUUAGGUUCCUUUUUUUUGGAAAAAAAAAUGUUGCUUGUGCCUACCAAAUGUCUUAUAUCUUGUUUCACGUUUAUAUAUCAAAUACAAGCUGAAACUAGCUAAUAAAAUAUCUCAACUGCAAGUAAUUGUAAAAGGAAACGAUAUAAUUAGCAGAGUUCAUCUCUGACAGAAAAUGGAAAACACACUGGGUGUAGGAAGAGAAGUGAGGAAGCAAAAAGAGAGUGAGAAAUCGGCCCAGCUGUCCCUCCAGCCCACAGGGACGGGGCAAGGUGGCUCUGUCCUUCCCACGGCUGCCAACCUCAGGGCCCCCCACUGUGUGGAAGGGCUGGGAUCGGAUGCUCAGGUAGAACAGGAGCUCUGCUGCUGCCUGAGCUUGAGCUCGUCCUAGGGCCUGCUGUCUUUCUCUCAGGUGUGUGGCACAGAAAACCUGUUUACG
Molecule: long non-coding RNA, 4367 nt
Organism: Ictidomys tridecemlineatus (thirteen-lined ground squirrel)
Lineage: Eukaryota; Metazoa; Chordata; Mammalia; Rodentia; Sciuridae
Source: RefSeq, a predicted model, not a curated record